RNAcentral lists this ribosomal RNA (521 nucleotides) under uncultured bacterium. RNAcentral's name for it is "bacterial SSU rRNA". It matches the Rfam family "Bacterial small subunit ribosomal RNA", at positions 8 to 518 of the family's 1533-position model. The record is from RNAcentral.
AGAGUUUGAUUCUGGCUCAGGAUGAACGCUAGCUACAGGCUUAACACAUGCAAGUCGAGGGGCAUCAUGAAGUUUGCUUGCAAACUUGAUGGCGACCGGCGCACGGGUGAGUAACGCGUAUCCAACCUUCCCCUUAGUAGGGCAUAGCCCGGCGAAAGUCGGAUUAAUACCCUAUGUUUUUCCAAUGAGGACAUCUGAGCUGGAACAAAGAUUCAUCGCUAAGGGAUGGGGAUGCGUCUGAUUAGGUAGUCGGCGGGGUAACGGCCCACCGAGCCUUCGAUCAGUAGGGGUUCUGAGAGGAAGGUCCCCCACAUUGGAACUGAGACACGGUCCAAACUCCUACGGGAGGCAGCAGUGAGGAAUAUUGGUCAAUGGACGGGAGUCUGAACCAGCCAAGUAGCGUGCAGGAUGACGGCCCUAUGGGUUGUAAACUGCUUUUAUGCGGGGAUAACGUGAGGGACGCGUCCCUUAUUGCAGGUACCGCAUGAAUAAGGACCGGCUAAUUCCGUGCCAGCCGCCGC